UGUGAAGAGAUAAUCAUGGUGGACAGCCU
This 29-nucleotide non-coding RNA is filed under the name Homo sapiens (human). The record is from RNAcentral. Lineage: Eukaryota; Metazoa; Chordata; Mammalia; Primates; Hominidae.